ACCGGACGCCAGCAGUGGGGACUUCCUUGGCGGGGGGCGCAAGGGGGAUUUCUCCACAAUGGGGGGAGGCCGAAACCCAUCCGGUCGUAGAGCGAAAUAAUCCCGUAAGGAAUAUAUAUUUUUUAUCCCGGGGAGGUAAGACGGUUCCCCCGGAAUAAACACCCGGUAAAUUCGUGCCCGCCGCCGCGGUAAUACGGAGGGGGCAAGCGUUAUUUUGAAUUUUUGGGGGUAAAAGGUGCGUAGGGGGUUCAUUAAGUCUGGUGUGAAAGCCCCGGGCUUAACCCCCGAAAGGCACUUGAAACUGGCUAGCUAGAGUGCCGUAGGGGGAGGGGGAAUUUCCCGUGUAGCGGUGAAAUGUGUAGAUAUUUGGAGGAACACCCGUGGCGAAAGCGGGCUUCUGGGCCGCGAUUGACACUGAGGGACGAAAGCUUGGGGGGCGAACACGAUUAGAUACCCCUGUAGUUCCCGCCCUAAACGAUGGGCACUACGGUGUUGCGGGUUCCUAGCCGUUCAGUGUCGCAGCUAACGCGUAAGUACUCC
This 540-nucleotide ribosomal RNA is filed under the name uncultured bacterium. RNAcentral's name for it is "partial 16S ribosomal RNA". It matches the Rfam family "Bacterial small subunit ribosomal RNA", at positions 340 to 870 of the family's 1533-position model. The record is from RNAcentral.